Molecule: long non-coding RNA, 304 nt
Organism: Galeopterus variegatus (Sunda flying lemur)
Lineage: Eukaryota; Metazoa; Chordata; Mammalia; Dermoptera; Cynocephalidae
Exons: 4
Source: RefSeq, a predicted model, not a curated record
CAGAUGGAGCAGCGUACUGUAUGGGACGUAUGAAUUCAGACUGUUGGUACUUGUAUACUCUGGAUUUCCCAGAGAGUCGGGUAAUCAGUCAGCCAGAUCAAACCCUGGAAAUUCUGAUGAGUGAGCUUGACCCAGCAGUUAUGGACCAGUUCUACAUGAAAGAUGGUGUUACUGCAAAGGAUGUCACUCGUGAGAGUGGAAUUCGUGACCUGAUACCAGGUUCUGUCAUUGAUGCCACACUGUUCAAUCCUUGUGGGUAUUCAAUGAAUGGAAUGAAAUCGGAUGGAACUUAUUGGACUAUUCA